CGUUGGCGCGAUCGUCCUGCGCGCAGGGGUGGACGACACCAAGCUGCGGCAGACGGAGGUUCUGAAGAGGGACUUAAGCAGCCUGAUCGAGACGGUUCGCAGCACGUCGCCCGCGACGAGGAUCAUCGUGUCAGGACCGCUUCCCACGUAUCGACGUGGGCACGAAAGGCUUUUCCGUGCUGAUGGCCUGCACCCCAGCAGAGUCGGAGCGGAACUGCUGUCGGACAACAUCUCCAGGACGCUACGCUCCAUUUGACUAGAAUUCACAAGCUCCAGUGUGGAUCCAGAACACUUAAGAAGAGAUGAUGCCAACCCCACAGAGGACUUCAGAUGAUGCCAACCCUGAAAACAUACAGCACUACCGAAUUCUGCUACUAAUUUAUAGUGUUCUUUGUCUGUUUGAUUACGUCAUUAAUUGAUCUUUACCACACAUC
This is a long non-coding RNA of Labeo rohita (rohu), 434 nucleotides long. RefSeq lists it as uncharacterized. The transcript is spliced from 3 exons. NCBI's taxonomy places the organism in Eukaryota, Metazoa, Chordata, Actinopteri, Cypriniformes, Cyprinidae. The record is from RefSeq and is a predicted model, not a curated record.